GUAAAAUGCGAUACAUUACGCGAGAUGCACAGCUCGAGCGUUAAGAUUUCCAAUGCACAUUGCUCCGAAAGCGCUAGAUAGCGGCAUUCGGACCGUCUGGCUCAGGGUUAUUUCACAAAUUCGUCGAAAUGUCGAAUACUUGAAAGCAUAUACAAUUUGGAAUGCAAUGACCACUCGAAAAUUGUUUUAUGCAGUGAACGCAAUUUGUGCAAGAGUAGAAUCCUUAAGGCAUAGAUUUGUCGAAAAGGGUUAAGUUUGCCAAAUCACCUAAUUAACCUGAGCUCAGGCGGGAGCACCCGCUGAACUUAA
RNAcentral lists this unclassified non-coding RNA (309 nucleotides) under uncultured fungus. Its description in RNAcentral is "sequence contains ITS1". The stretch from base 1 to 110 matches the Rfam family "5.8S ribosomal RNA", at positions 48 to 154 of the family's 154-position model. The record is from RNAcentral. Lineage: Eukaryota; Fungi.